This 250-nucleotide ribosomal RNA is filed under the name uncultured bacterium. Its description in RNAcentral is "partial 16S ribosomal RNA". It matches the Rfam family "Bacterial small subunit ribosomal RNA", at positions 524 to 773 of the family's 1533-position model. The record is from RNAcentral.
UACGGAGGGUGCAAGCGUUAUCCGGAUUUAUUGGGUUUAAAGGGUCCGUAGGCGGACCGUUAAGUCAGUGGUGAAAGCCCACAGCUCAACUGUGGAAUUGCCAUUGAUACUGGCGGUCUUGAGUACAUGUGAAGUUGGCGGAAUGUGUGGUGUAGCGGUGAAAUGCUUAGAUAUCACACAGAACACCGAUUGCGAAGGCAGCUGGCUAACAUGUAACUGACGCUGAGGGACGAAAGUGUGGGGAUCAAAC